RNAcentral lists this ribosomal RNA (52 nucleotides) under Phaeophyscia ciliata. Its description in RNAcentral is "partial 18S ribosomal RNA". The record is from RNAcentral. Lineage: Eukaryota; Fungi; Ascomycota; Lecanoromycetes; Caliciales; Physciaceae.
CCUACGGAGCCUUGUGCCUAUUCCGUAGGUGGAACCUGCGGAAGGAUCAUUA